UCUUGAAAUUUUAUUUAAAAUUAUAUAAAGAAAAAAAUUAGGUGCUUUAAUUUUUUUAUUUGUGAGUAUUUUUUUGCUCUAACCAUUUUAUUUAAUAAUGAGUGUUUUUUUUAGUUGGGGCUAGUGCAGAGAUGACAGAAAAAAUGUAUGUUUGAGUGAGAGAGAUGAAGGAGAAAGGGUUAAGAGGAAUGAAGGAGGUGAGUAAGGGUUGGAGGUUUCUUUUUUUAAUCUUGAGAAUGAAAAUUAUUAAAAUAAAGCAAGUGUUUCUGAUUUUUUUCAAUUGGGGCUAGAGUAUGGAUGACAGAGAGAAAAUGUUGGAGUGAAAGAGAUGAAAGAGAAAGGGUUGAGAGGAAUGAGAGAGGUGGGUAAGGGUUUGGGGGGUUUCUUUUUUUAUUUUUUUAAUUUUGAGAAUGAAAAUUUUUAAAAUACCCUUAACCUUAAAACUUAAAAUUCAUGAUAUAUAAGGGUAUUUUUGUCUACUGAAACCCGAUAUACAUUGCUA
Molecule: long non-coding RNA, 502 nt
Filed under: Vigna radiata
Lineage: Eukaryota; Viridiplantae; Streptophyta; Magnoliopsida; Fabales; Fabaceae
Description: long non-coding RNA (VRAD_LNC006296)
Source: RNAcentral